Arabidopsis thaliana (thale cress) is the source of this 242-nucleotide long non-coding RNA. RefSeq annotates it as other RNA. The record is from RefSeq. The transcript has a single exon. Lineage: Eukaryota; Viridiplantae; Streptophyta; Magnoliopsida; Brassicales; Brassicaceae.
GUUCACAUAUGCAUAUUCUUGGUGAGAAAAAACAAUACAAAUUUUUUCUGGAGACACAAUCAAAAUGUUCAAUAUUUUCUUUCUCUGGUUAUCCAUGCGAUGCGCCACUUGGAUGCUGAUGUUGAGUAUUGAGCUCAGGAAACUACGUGCGAUGUUAUAUUCAUUUUCCAUCAACAUAUCUAGGCUUUGUGAUUUGAUAGAUUCUUUUCAUUUUUCUGUACCUAUCUCCCUACCUAUCUAUA